UAAUACGUAGGGGGCUAGCGUUGUCCGGAUUUAUUGGGCGUAAAGCGCGUGUAGGCGGCCAGAUAGGUCUGCUGUGAAAACUCGAGGCUCAACCUCGAGCUGUCGGCGGAAACCAUCCGGCUAGAGUCCGGAAGAGGAGAGUGGAAUUCCCGGUGUAGCGGUGAAAUGCGCAGAUAUCGGGAAGAACACCUGUGGCGAAGGCGGCUCUCUGGGACGGUACUGACGCUGAGACGCGAAAGCGUGGGGAGCAAACAGGAUUAGAUACCCUGGUAGUCCACGCCGUAAACGAUGGGUGCUAGGUGUGGGGAGUGUCGACUCUCUCCGUGCCGAAGCUAACGCAUUAAGCACCCCGCCUGGGGAGUACGGCCGCAAGGCUA
This 377-nucleotide ribosomal RNA is filed under the name uncultured bacterium. RNAcentral's name for it is "bacterial SSU rRNA". It matches the Rfam family "Bacterial small subunit ribosomal RNA", at positions 521 to 896 of the family's 1533-position model. The record is from RNAcentral.